GACGAACGCUGGCGGCGUGCUUAACACAUGCAAGUCGAACGGGCCUGUCUUCUUUUUUGGGGGGUGGGUUGAGUGGCGAACGGGUGAGCAUCACGUGAGUAACCUGCCCUUCGGUCCUGGAUAACCGCUUGAAAGGGCGGCUAAUACGGGGUGGUCCGGUUGGUCCGCAUGGGCUGGUCGGGAUAGAUUCACUGUUUUUGGUGUUUCGGCGGGGGAUGGGCUCGCGGCCUAUCAGCUUGUUGGUGGGGUGAUGGCCUACCAAGGCGGUGACGGGUAGCCGGCCUGGGAGGGUGGGCGGCCACACUGGGACUGAGAUACGGCCCAGACUCCUGCGGGAGGCAGCAGUGGGGGGUAUUGCACAAUGGGCGGAAGCCUGAUGCAGCGACGUCGCGUGAGGGAUGGAGGCCUUCGGGUUGUGAACCUCUGUUUCCGGUGGUGAAGGCCCUGUCCGUGUGGUGGGGUUGACGGUAGCCGGGGAUGAAGCGCCGGCUAACUACGG
Molecule: ribosomal RNA, 499 nt
Filed under: uncultured bacterium
Lineage: Bacteria
Description: partial 16S ribosomal RNA
Rfam family: Bacterial small subunit ribosomal RNA
Source: RNAcentral